This is a long non-coding RNA of Rhincodon typus (whale shark), 2732 nucleotides long. RefSeq lists it as uncharacterized. The transcript has 3 exons. The record is from RefSeq and is a predicted model, not a curated record. Lineage: Eukaryota; Metazoa; Chordata; Chondrichthyes; Orectolobiformes; Rhincodontidae.
UAUACCUAAGAUGGUGCCAUAAAGAGGCAACAUUGUAAAACUUUUCACUGUACUCCUGUACUUGAGUACACGUGACAAUAAAGGAUAUUCCGUGCUAUUCUAACAAGAAAGAGCAGUGGUGGAAUACAAAUGACAUUAAACUCAAUGGAAAAUGAAAUUAAGCAAGGCAUUUUACACACUGUCGGAAAGUAAAAUCAGCUUUUCAGUGCUAAUUCACAUAAAGGAUGGUGAUCCUUCUCUGGGGAGUGAUUUCCCUAUGGCGAAUGCUGUUCCCAUUAUUUCUGUUGCUGAGAAACAGUAACCUCUGGGACUGAUGAUCAUUCUGUACUCUGUUAAGGUGAUGGAUCAUAUCUUUCUGAUCAGUGACCUGCCAUGAGGGUGUAGUUUUGCUACUUGCAUGCAGAUGUCCUGUAGUUACGAUGACAUAUCUGGUUAUUCAUGUUCACUGCGUACAAUCAAGCUGACAGCUACUCAACACAGGGCCAAGUUGCCAAAUGGGGUGACUCUUGUUGAGAGCAUUGAACCUUGAAACUCUGAAUUGAUCCUCAAUGUUCAGCUCUGGCAAUGAUUUGGCACCUUUAUCAAAAUGAAAUUUGGCUUUCUGUUAUUUAACUUGAGUUUGUCACUCCCACCAGCUACCAUUUCUAUCUUCAGUGUUUUUUUUGGCUAAUGGAAGAGUAGUUUGGGUGUGGUGUGACAUUAGUUUUUGGACUGGACUACUUUCCAUGUUUCCAUAGCUGUGUUUCUCCACUUGAAGAUUGGCCUGUACAAUUCUUGACACAAUUUGUUCAAUUUUGUCAUGAUCCCUUUGGUGAUUUUUAUUGCCACUUGGCUGAGGAUAGUGCACAUGUGACAUGUGUGGUUGAAUUUCCCAAUCCUUCAUGAAGCAGCUGAAUUCUUCACUUGUAAUUUCAGGACCACAGUCAUUCCACAAUGUCUGGAAUGUCAUGCUAAGUGAAGUUUUCAUACAUCCUACACUCUCAUUGUUGUCAGCUGAUCUAGUAGUCAAUAUGGUAGUUGACUAUGACAGGAUAAUCAGUUCCUAAAGGCAUGAAGAGGUCAACUCUAUGUUUCAUUCAUGUUCUGCAUUAUGGGUGAUUCUUUAGCUUGCUUCACUUAGUAUUCAUUAUAACUACUGCACUGGCUGAUGUGGUCCUUAAUUUCAUUGCCCUUGUUUGGCCACUAGAGUAGUUCUCUUGCCUUCCAGUGCAAUUCCUUGAUAUUUCGCUUAGAUGUGCUUCAGCAUCUUGAUUCUACUUUCUUUGCACAAAAUGCUAUCGCAGACUAUCACUUUAUCUCUACACACCCAAUAAUCUCUCAUAGCAACCAAAAUAUCCUUGAUACUUUUAGGCCACUCCUUCAUCAUUACUUCCUGCAGAACAACAUCUUGUUGCAUUGUUCACUUGAAUUGAGCAGGAUGCUUGUCUGUCAGAUUCAUUGGGCUGAAUCUUAACAUCAGUUUUGUUGAGUUUCACAGAGGGCUUAUUUCACUGUCUUUUACCUACUUUGUCUCAUUAACCAUCUACCUUGCUCGCAUAGCAUAUCUCUUACCUGAUUCUAGCCCCAUCCAACCACUUGCUGUUCCCAUAAUAACUCGCUAUUGUCAGGAAAUCCAAGAAUGGAUUUAUGGCAUGGGGUUCCAUCUUUAAGAGGUUGUUGUAUACCUGAAUAAGCACUGAUAGUCUGGACCCUCCCUGCACGGUUCCUGAUAUUUACCCCUGACAUGGCAGAGAAAGGAAAUUCACACCCUGCUUUAUUAGCAGCUUCCCAGAGGUCCUAGUGGAUAGAGUGAUUCAGAGGAGAGAUGUCCACUCUUCCCAGGACCAGCAGUGGAGGUCAUGACACCAGACCUGGUUUGGGGCUGCCACCUGGGCCAGUGCAGUCUCAGCUAACUGGAAGAAUGCACAUCCAGUGUAGGAGAAAGUUGAAUCACCUUCUCCACUUCGGCAGUGUAAAUGCUACCGUCUUCUGUCUGAUACCUUACGUUCACUUCAUCUCUGCUAUGGUACCCUCCUGGCAUCUCAUGCUCUGCCACCCUCACUAUUGCUUGCAACAUCUUCCACUGUCACUCACCUAGACACCACUGAUUCUGUGAGCCAUCUAUGCUGUCUACUUACUCACUUGCACCAAAACUAAUAGCUCUGUCACCCACAUUCAUCUCCCUUAAUACCUACCUCUCUAUCACUCCAGGGGGAAAACAGCCUGAAAUAAGGCAAAAUGAAUCAAGACGGUUGGUGGGGUGCACUGGAUUGAUUCCAGAGGUGAGAAAUUUGUCUAUGAAGAGAGAGAUUGAACAGUUUAGGCUUAUACUCUUUCGAGUUUAGAAGAAUAAGAGGAGAUCUAAUUGAGGUAUGUAAGAUGUCAAAGGGGAUUAACAAAGUAGACGUAGAGAGGAUGUUUCCUCUUGUGGAACAAUCUAGACUGAGAGUCCUAGUUUUAGGAUUAGGGUAGCAGAUUUAAAACAGAGGUGAGGAGAAAUUUACUUCUCUCUGUGGAAUCAAUCUGUGGAAUUUGCUCCCCCGGAAAACAGUGGAUACCAUGACAUUGAGUCAAUUUAAGGAGAAGAUAGACAUAUUUUUAAUUAGUAGUGGGGUAAAGGGUUAUGGAAAGUGGAGGGGAAAGUGGAAUUGAGGCUGAAAUGAGAUCAGCCACGGUAGUAUUAAAUGGUGGAGCAGUCUCUAGGGACUGAAUUACCUACUCCUGUUCCUAGUCCUUAUGUUAAAUUUCAGCAA